Symphalangus syndactylus (siamang) is the source of this 4916-nucleotide long non-coding RNA. RefSeq lists it as uncharacterized. Lineage: Eukaryota; Metazoa; Chordata; Mammalia; Primates; Hylobatidae. The record is from RefSeq and is a predicted model, not a curated record.
GGGUAGUAAAAAAGUUGAGAUAUUUUGAGUUUAGAGUAUCUGUGCAAUAUUCAAAUCUAAAUAGUGAGUAAGUUGUUUGAGUAUGUGCUCUUGACUGACUGUGAAAUGUGAAUUAAAACAGACUUGGGGGUGUAGCAAUACCUGCAGAGAGCAAGGAAGAUAAACAGAAAACCUCAAAACAAUGAAAUAAACAAAGAAAGUUCACAGAGUGAGAUAAAUGAAACCAAAUCAGAAUCUCAGACACAUGAGCAUUUGAGGAGAAUGCCACAAAUAAGAUAAUAAAUGGAGCAAAUAAGAAAACUAGAAGACAAUGGUGUUAUAGAAGCCAGAAGAAUUGAGGAUUUUUUUAAAGAAACUGUCGGUAAUGUCAAGAGCCAGGGGGAGGUCAAGUGAGACAAAAACUGGAAAUGAUUAAGUUAGCAAUAAGUAGUGAGGGGGUAAAAGUACCGUGGACUGAAGAGAGAAUAAAAGGUGAGUAACUGGAAAAACAGUGAAUAUGGACUAUUUUUCCAAAAAGUCUGAAUGCAAAGGAAAUGAAGGACAGGGAGAGACACAUACUAGAAAGAGUUAUGGUCAAAGAAGUACAUGUCUGCUUAUUUGUUUUUAAAAUGAAAGACUCUGGUGUAUUUAUAUGUUAAAACAAUGCAGCCAGUGAUUGAAAACCAGCGGGAAAACAUCUCAUGGAACAUGGUCUGAGUCAUAAGGAAUUUUACCUUAGCCAGCAAAAACAGAGGAACAAAGAACCCUGGGUAUGAGCAGGGUUUUUCUUUCUCAGGGAAGAAAGUAUGGAUGUGUACAGCUUAACAGGUGUUACAAGAGGAAGGCACAUCAUGGAAGAGAUCGUAUGUCUCACCGAAAAAAAAAAAAAAAUCUGACUUUUAUUCUGUGAGCAACUGAGAGUUACUUAAAAAUUAAGGAACGGAGUAAUAUGAUUAAAGAUUACAUUCUAUAGCCCCAGGCGUUUUGUAUAGCCACUGGGAAACAUGAAGAGUUGACUGGAAACACCUAAAAAUGUGCUAAAUAUCCAUCCAGAGGAGUAUUCUCUAAUGUUCCCCCCGUGCUGCUUCUAUGCAAAGAUGCACUAGCUGAUGUUGACACCACACGUCCCUUGAUCCCUCAGAGAGCUUAAUUUUCUUUGUUGAUUUAUUGUUAUGGGCCACUCUCAACACAAGGAUUUUGGUUUAUUUUUGUCUCUCUCUGAUCAUUAAGAAGAAUCUAUUUGAAAUUUAUUUUAGCAUUUUAUAAACUUUCUUCUUCAAACUUUUCUACAAAACUGCUAAUAGGGGUCAGGUGCGGCGGCUCACGCCUGUAAUCCCAGCACUUUGGGAGGCCAAGGCAGGUGGAUCACCUGAGGUCAGGAGUUCGAGGCCAGCCUGGCAAAACCCCGUCUCUACAAAACAUUCAAAAUUAGCUGGACAUGGUAGUGCAUGCCUGUAGUUCCAACUACUCUGGAGACUGAGGCAGGAGAAUUGCUUGAACCUGGGAGGCAGAGACUGCAAUGAGCUGAGAUCCAGCCACUGCAACAGAGCAAGACUCCAUCUCGAAAAAUAAAAAAAAACUGCUAAUAGGUAGAAAAAUAAAAUGUGUAAUACGUUAUAAACGGAAUUUUAUCAUGUAAAAAAUUUUAAAGACAAAAAAAUCUUUCACAUAAAAUACCAAGUUUCAAAUCUGAAAUCUAGGUAAAAUUACUUCCAAGGUUUAAACAGAAUUUGAAGUAAAGCAGUGUCUACUUCUUUUUCUUAACUAACACAAGAGAUCUACUUCAGAAUUCAUUACAUCAACAUAAAUGCACUUUUGUAUGUUAACGAUUGUAUAAAACAAACUUUUUUUAAAAUACUGAGGUAUAUAGAAAAAUGUACUGAAAUAGUUGGUAUCUGCUUUUGCAAAAUUGUGCAAAAUACUGUUAAUUCAUCUUCAAGACGGUUGUUAGGUGUAUAAAAGAAAAACUAUCCAAUCUCAGAAUGAUUACCUGAGUCACUCCUGGAGAAACCAUCCCAAACUCAGAAUCAAAAUAACUAAAAUAAACAUACUAGAAGAUGACAAAGAAUUCUGCAAAACUGUCUUUUAAAAGUCCUUCACUUAAAAAGAAAGUUUUGAAUGACUUAGGGUAAGUCAGUUAAAUGAUUUUUUUCUAUCAUAAACUAAGCACAAGUAGACUGUACAUUCUAAAUGAAUCUGCUCAGUGUUGAACUGUGCUUUUAAAUACACAAAGGUUUCCAUCAAAGCCAACAAUUUACCUUUGACUAAAAGAAUAUUAAGGAAUCAAACACCAAAUGUCACCUCCCAAUCCUCCCCAUUAUCUCCAUCUUUAAACUGAAACACACAACAAACUAUUGGGCAUUUAAGUACCAGGCAUUCUCUCACAGCGGUGUGUUUACUCAACCACUCUCUUGGCCUAAACCUCCCUUGAAAUGAAAAACAAGCCUUUUCCUUAAAGGCCUCCUAAGGGAGGGAUGGGGGACGUAGAGAAAGGGCUUCUUUCCUCAGACAGGGUUGUCUCUCUGUUACACCAUCUACACACCUUUUCUGUUUCCCUGGCUAGUCUUAUUUUUACUGGCAACACAAAAACAAUGUGUUCUAUAAUCAUAGCUAUAAUUCUCCAAUACCCCCCAAAAAGGAAAUACAUGAGUAAGUCACUGUGUAGGGCUUUUGCUUGUUUUUUAAACCUGCUUCUCCACUAUUAUUACUCUCUUACUACAGCAAUGUAACAACUUCCCUAAGGAGAAAACUUCGAACUGUGGACAUUUCCUGGCCUAAAACUGGUUGUAAAGGCUUAUAAGUCCCUAAUGGCAAUUUACACAUAGUUAUCCAGUAGAGGAAAUGUUCACUGUAAACACAGCCAAUCAAAAGAUAAAAAUGAAAUAUUAAAAAAACACAUCAUACAGAUUUACAUUAAAUUAUCUCAUGAUAAUGGCUGAGUUAGGACUUUCCAUGAUUCCUCAAAGGUUUUCCCCCAGCUAAAACUACGUAAAAAUCACACAACUUACAUAAGCUUGCAAUAAAAUACAUUCACUGCACCUUCUCUUAAAACCAAAUCCUUACCCGACAAGUAGCUCACUUACACUUCUAUUCAAAGAAAUUCGUAAAUGCACUAAAAAGCUUGCAAUGUAGUUACUUAAUAUUAAUCUCAUAAUUCCAGAAUAUAUUUUAAAUUCCUAAAACUGAAGUUUUUCCUAUGGAAAACAAUGUAGUUGGUUUUCUCUUGGACUCAACCUUACACAACAAUAAAGGAUUUAAUUUUUUCUUUUAGCAAUAGAAUUGCUAUAAGCCUCACAAAAAUUGUUCUCAUUCAACAAUUGAAAUACAAGACAUAGACUUCCAAAACGGGACUCACUUUACACUUAACUAAAGAUAGGAAGGAACCUACUUUUCUAUUAGAUGUUCACACUCUUUCAGUAUUCCUUAAGAACAAAGAAAAAAAUAAAAAUCUGUACAUUUUAACUCUCUUUCCUAAAGUACACUACAUAUUGACAAGGAAACGGACCAAAAGCCCCUGCGAUUCUUUCAGGAUCACCAAGUCAGACUAAAAACUUAUCACCGGCAGUACUACAAAAACCUACAAAGUUACAGAGCUGGGUGACACCUUAUCAGCCUUCUCAGGAUCUGUCGGAAACCGCAAACGUAAAAGCAAAAAAGUCACACGCACUGAAGGUUUCUCAGCAGAGAAGCUCAACUAAAGGGCUAAAUAAAAGCACGCGGGUGGCACACUGAAAUGUCGUAGAAGGCAAGAAGCCCCGCUACUAUGAACCUACAACUCUCCGUUUGCGGCUGACGCAUCGCUCCUGCCCGCACGCGCCUGGGUCCGUGCCAACAGCACCCGGCAGCCCUUGCCAGGCACCUCCAAGGAUUCUCCACCUCCCCCGCGCCCUACACCUGACGGUCGAGUUCUAAACCCGGCGAAAAAGGCUGCAUUCCCUGUGGUAUCCAAUCCAGCCUCUCCUGCUUCCUGAGUUCUCUCCAGUGAUGCAAAAUCAGAUAAGGAAACACACCUCGUCUAGGAAGCAAGAGGAAAUAUGACAAAGCACACAGAAACUAGAAAUAAAGGUCAAAAUCUACACCAUCGAACCCAAAUAAUCUUCUUCAGUUUUAAUGAUGGACCCAAACCAAAACAGUUCUCACAUUCACAUGUUAGAAACUAACUCCAUCUGCAUCACUUACGAUAGGCUGUAGUAAACUGAACCAAAUGAGAAAAAUCCCAGCAGCAAACUUGCUGACAAAACUUUAGCCAAUUGCCAGGGUAGUCCGUUACAGGAACGUCAGAUGAAACCAAUGUGCUGUAAAUAAACCUAUAUUGUAUUUUAUGAUACGGUUCGAAUUUAAAUCCCUAGGUAGCGCCACGAAACAAAAGACAUAUUGAUGCUACUGCCAUUGAGCAGCACAGUUUGUCUAGAAAAUAAACGAGACGAAACAACAGUCUAGACAUAGGCACCAAGUCUGAGUUUUCAUGUGCGAUCCAGGUAUUAAGAGUCCAUCCAGGAACAGCCUGCUGGAAUUGCUAGCCUGGCAUUCACAGAAGAUUGUGACACCCAGGAGGAAUGUGUCUUCAGCCAUGAAGUUCCUGGGAGUAAGACGUGAAGCCAGCUGGAUUUCUGGGUUGGGUGAACUUGGAGAACUUUUCUUACAAGAGGAUUGUAAAAUGCACCAAUCAGCACUCUGUAGCUAGCUAGAGUUUUGUAAAAUGCACCAAUCAGUGCUCUGUAAAAAUGCACCUAUCAGCGCUCUGUAGGUAGCUAGAGGUUUGUAAAAUGGACCAAUCAGCACUCUGUAAAAUGGACGAAUCAGCAGGGCAUGGGCAGGGACAAAUAAGCCAAUAAAAGCUGGCCACCCCGGCCUGCAGGGGCAGCCUGCUUGGGUAGCUUUCCACCUUGUGGAAGCUUUGUUCUUUUGCUCUUCACGAUAAAUCUUGCUGCUGCUCA